AAAUUGAAGAGUUUGAUCAUGGCUCAGAUUGAACGCUGGCGGCAGGCCUAACACAUGCAAGUCGAGCGGUAGCACAGAGAGCUUGCUCUCGGGUGACGAGCGGCGGACGGGUGAGUAAUGUCUGGGAAACUGCCUGAUGGAGGGGGAUAACUACUGGAAACGGUAGCUAAUACCGCAUAACGUCGCAAGACCAAAGUGGGGGACCUUCGGGCCUCAUGCCAUCAGAUGUGCCCAGAUGGGAUUAGCUAGUAGGUGGGGUAACGGCUCACCUAGGCGACGAUCCCUAGCUGGUCUGAGAGGAUGACCAGCCACACUGGAACUGAGACACGGUCCAGACUCCUACGGGAGGCAGCAGUGGGGAAUAUUGCACAAUGGGCGCAAGCCUGAUGCAGCCAUGCCGCGUGUGUGAAGAAGGCCUUCGGGUUGUAAAGCACUUUCAGCGGGGAGGAAGGCGGUGAGGUUAAUAACCUCAUCGAUUGACGUUACCCGCAGAAGAAGCACCGGCUAACUCCGUGCCAGCAGCCGCGGUAAUACGGAGGGUGCAAGCGUUAAUCGGAAUUACUGGGCGUAAAGCGCACGCAGGCGGUCUGUCAAGUCGGAUGUGAAAUCCCCGGGCUUAACCUGGGAACUGCAUUCGAAACUGGCAGGCUAGAGUCUUGUAGAGGGGGGUAGAAUUCCAGGUGUAGCGGUGAAAUGCGUAGAGAUCUGGAGGAAUACCGGUGGCGAAGGCGGCCCCCUGGACAAAGACUGACGCUCAGGUGCGAAAGCGUGGGGAGCAAACAGGAUUAGAUACCCUGGUAGUCUACGCCGUAAACGAUGUCGAUUUGGAGGUUGUGCCCUUGAGGCGUGGCUUCCGGAGCUAACGCGUUAAAUCGACCGCCUGGGGAGUACGGCCGCAAGGUUAAAACUCAAAUGAAUUGACGGGGGCCCGCACAAGCGGUGGAGCAUGUGGUUUAAUUCGAUGCAACGCGAAGAACCUUACCUGGUCUUGACAUCCACAGAACUUUCCAGAGAUGGAUUGGUGCCUUCGGGAACUGUGAGACAGGUGCUGCAUGGCUGUCGUCAGCUCGUGUUGUGAAAUGUUGGGUUAAGUCCCGCAACGAGCGCAACCCUUAUCCUUUGUUGCCAGCGGUCCGGCCGGGAACUCAAAGGAGACUGCCAGUGAUAAACUGGAGGAAGGUGGGGAUGACGUCAAGUCAUCAUGGCCCUUACGACCAGGGCUACACACGUGCUACAAUGGCAUAUACAAAGAGAAGCGACCUCGCGAGAGCAAGCGGACCUCAUAAAGUAUGUCGUAGUCCGGAUUGGAGUCUGCAACUCGACUCCAUGAAGUCGGAAUCGCUAGUAAUCGUAGAUCAGAAUGCUACGGUGAAUACGUUCCCGGGCCUUGUACACACCGCCCGUCACACCAUGGGAGUGGGUUGCAAAAGAAGUAGGUAGCUUAACCUUCGGGAGGGCGCUUACCACUUUGUGAUUCAUGACUGGGGUGAAGUCGUAACAAGGUAACCGUAGGGGAACCUGCGGUUGGAUCACCUCCUUA
This 1540-nucleotide ribosomal RNA is filed under the name Klebsiella pneumoniae. RNAcentral describes it as "bacterial SSU rRNA". It matches the Rfam family "Bacterial small subunit ribosomal RNA". Lineage: Bacteria; Pseudomonadati; Pseudomonadota; Gammaproteobacteria; Enterobacterales; Enterobacteriaceae. The record is from RNAcentral.